RNAcentral lists this ribosomal RNA (502 nucleotides) under uncultured bacterium. Its description in RNAcentral is "bacterial SSU rRNA". It matches the Rfam family "Bacterial small subunit ribosomal RNA", at positions 8 to 507 of the family's 1533-position model. The record is from RNAcentral.
AGAGUUUGAUCAUGGCUCAGAUUAAACGCUGGCGGCAUGCCUUACACAUGCAAGUCGAACGGUAGCGCGGGGCAACCUGGCGACGAGUGGCGAACGGGUGAGUAAAGCAUCGGAACGUGCCCUGGAAUGGGGGAUAACGUAGCGAAAGUUACGCUAAUACCGCAUAUUCUGUGAGCAGGAAAGCAGGGGAUCGCAAGACCUUGCGUUCUGGGAGCGGCCGAUGUCGGAUUAGCUAGUUGGUGGGGUAAAAGCCUACCAAGGCGACGAUCCGUAGCGGGUCUGAGAGGAUGAUCCGCCACACUGGGACUGAGACACGGCCCAGACUCCUACGGGAGGCAGCAGUGGGGAAUUUUGGACAAUGGGCGGAAGCCUGAUCCAGCCAUGCCGCGUGAGUGAAGAAGGCCUUCGGGUUGUAAAGCUCUUUCGGUGGGGAAGAAAUUGCACGGGUUAAUACCCUGUGUAGAUGACGGUACCCGACUAAGAAGCACCGGCUAACUACGUG